Molecule: transfer RNA, 73 nt
Filed under: Camelus bactrianus (Bactrian camel)
Lineage: Eukaryota; Metazoa; Chordata; Mammalia; Artiodactyla; Camelidae
Also listed under: 2 other names
Rfam family: tRNA
About the family: Transfer RNA (tRNA) molecules are approximately 80 nucleotides in length.
Source: Rfam by way of RNAcentral
GAGGGUAUAGCUCAAAUGGUACAGUGCAUGCCUAGCAUUCACGAGGUCCUGGGUUCAAUCCCCAGUAUCUCCU